This 400-nucleotide unclassified non-coding RNA is filed under the name soil metagenome. RNAcentral's name for it is "partial contains 5.8S ribosomal RNA, internal transcribed spacer 2, and large subunit ribosomal RNA". The stretch from base 1 to 120 matches the Rfam family "5.8S ribosomal RNA", at positions 35 to 154 of the family's 154-position model. The record is from RNAcentral.
GAUGAAGAACGUAGCGAAAUGCGAUACUUGGUGUGAAUUGCAGAAUCCCGUGAACCAUCGAGUCUUUGAACGCAAGUUGCGCCCGAAGCCUCGGCUAAGGGCACGUCUGCCUGGGCGUCACGCAUCGCGUCUCCCCCAAACCGCCAAGGCGGAGGGGAAGGAAGAUGGCUUCCCGUGCCUCACCCGGGCGCGGUUGGCCUAAAUUUGGAGCCCGCGGCACUUAGCUCUCGCGGCGAUAGGUGGUGAACAAGGCCUUGGCCGUGCAAACAACCCGCUGCGAAGCUCUAUGUCACGUGCGCUCGUCGGACCCUUUGAAGUUGCCUUUGGUGACUUAAAACCUUUGCGACCCCAGGUCAGGCGGGGCUACCCGCUGAACUUAAGCAUAUCAAUAAGCGGAGGA